UGGAUCAGUAAGAAAAUGAGCAAAUAGAGAGUGGGGGAUAGGAGCCGAAAAGAACUGGACUACAGUUUCUCUGGAACUUUUUUCCACCUUAGUUUUUGUGGGGCAGCUCUGGUGAAGCUGCAGCCGAGAUGCGACGCUGCUAUCGAGGACGCCAUAUGCACAUCUUCUAACUGUGCCCAUUGGCUUCCCAGGUUUCGACGGUGACGGGGAUAUUGCCCUAGGGUAGGGUCAUAGGCCUGACCUAUACGUCCUACCCAAGGGCGCCUCAUUAUUAGUUUAAGGACUACAAGGGAAAUUUCGACUGGAUCGCGACAACAUCUAAUCCUCUCGGUACGGAUCCACUCGGACAAGUACAUUCCAUCCACUCAGAUGACAGUCAACCACUCGGCCGUAUAACUCACUCGGGUAUGCAAAUACCAACAACCGGCAAGGCAGUCGAAGCAUAGAGGAGGUUCUGUAGUGGACUGACAUUAUGGCAUCAAUGCCCCAUCUUGUAACAUAAGAGGUGAGGGGGUGGCGCACUCUAUAUAAGCCACCCCCACCACAUAGCUCAAGGACCAGCUUCUUCUCCCCUGCGGGCUCAUUCUUUCCCUGAAGCUCUGCCUCUUUCUAUACCAUGUAACUCAUGUCCAUGACAGAUAAAACAAAGCCUCUCCGGAGCACGAGACGUAGGGUUGUUAUCUCCACUGUGAGAUGCCCGAACUCGCUAAAACCACCGUGUCACCCAUGUGCAUCUCGAUAGAUCGUGCUCCGUUAUCCACCCCCUUUCUAUUGUCGGAACCGUUGCCACGACAGUUGGCGCCCACCGUGGGGCCUGGCAUCUAUCGAGCCAUGAUGCAGAUGGUUAUUUCUUCAACCACCAGUGUCGUCCACCUCAUCAUCGUCACACACAGCCACCGGCGUCAUCCGCCUCGUCGUCGUCACGCGCAGCCACCGACGUCGUCGCCUCAUCAUCGUUAAGCGCGGCCACCGACGUCGUCGCCUCAUCAUCGUCACGCGCGGCCACCGACGUCAUCCGCCUCAUCGUCGUCCCCUUCGGCUUUGUCUGCGAUGCCAUCGACGAACGACCACACACGCAUGGCUGUUAAAAGCUCGUCCAGGUUCCUCGGGCGGCGUAGUACGACGACGGCGCUCGACCGGUUCAUCGGGUGGCGAGGCCCGUCUGCCUGUGCUCGGCCAACCGGCGCACAACUCCGGCUCCUCGGACAGCGAAACACGUCCACUAGUGCUCGUGUAACACGUCGUGUGGCCUCGCCCUUGGCUGCGCCGUCCGACGUCCCGCGUGCCGCUCGUCCUGUGCGUUGACCGCGCACGAGCAGAACGCAUCAGUGUGCCUCCGCAGCUGACCGGUUUGAUCUAACACUCACCUCCCUCCUUGAUUCAUUGCAUUCAGGAAAAGUAACGGAAGGACGUGGACUCAUAACUCUAGGAAGAGUUGAUUGACCGCCUCAUUAAUCGGCUAAUUGGUGAGGAAUCUCCAACGCUUGUCAUAGUAAGGACAAACGCAUGGAGUAUUUACUUCCUUUCCUUCCACAAGUUAAUUGCUUAUCUUUCGGUUUCCACCGUUCCACGCCAAUUAAUUUGUGCAUGCAUGCAUAUACAACUAUCCAACCUUUAAUGCAGCCAAUUAGCAUCAAUGCACGGGGCUUUUUGUCCAGCAUAAGGUUAUACUCCCUCCGUCCGGAAAUACUUGUCCUAAAGAUGAAUGUAUCUAGACUUAUUUUAGUUAUAGAUACAUUUAUUAUAUUCAUUUUUAGGACAAGUAUUUCUGGACGGAGGGAGUAUUUGCUAACUUAUAGGGUCACUCGGUUAGCUCCCAACCAGAUUAUCUUGACAUGCUAAGAGACCCGUCACACAGACAACUAAACGUCCACAUGAUAGCUAAAACGUUCAGUUUAUUUAAAUGGCAUUUCCAGCCAGAUGAUUAAUGUGCAGGCACUCUAUCGCACCGUGCCUCGUCUCUCCCCUCGACGCGCCUCUGUCACAUGGUCGUCCCGUGCAUCGUCACUCAGUUGGACGCGUCUCCAUCACUCGGCUGCCCUGCACGCUAUCACCCCACGGAGCGCGUCUGCAACAGUCGGUCGUUCUUUGCGUCAUUACCCCGCGCGUCGUCACUCGGCGAGACACACCUUCAUCAGUCGGCUGCCCCACGCGUCGCCACUCGCUCCGUGCAUCGUCACUCAACCGGAUGCGUCUUCAUCAUUCGGCCGCCGCGUGCGCGGUCGCUCAAUCGGACGCAUCUUCAUCAUUUGACCGUCCCGCGCGCUGUCGCUCAGCCAGACGCGUCUUCAUCACUCGGCCGCCCCACACGUUACCACUCGGUGGAACACGUCUUCAUCACUCAGUCGCUCGUGCGCUGUCAGACGGCUAAGUCAUUCUUCAUAGACUGCAUUAAAUUAAAUAGUUAUUUCCGUAUUACCGAAUGUAAGCCAAUUGUUUAUUUUCAUGUCGAAACACUUCACUUCUGCUUUAUUUGGGUCCAGAACUCAAACGAGUUCAGUCCGAUCCUCCACUCUUUUAGACUCUUGCUUUUUCCGAACUAGCAAUCACCUGGCACACCCAGCGGGUGCAAAUGGGUUUUAUUUACACAAAUCACUUCAGCAAACUCAUAUUACUUUGAGAAAAUUUUACUUCAGCUUGUGCUAUUUUUCAUACACAGGUUUCACGGUCACUCGGACGCCCCGCGCGUCGCCACUCAGCUGGACGCGUCGUCAUCACUCGGUCGCUCCGCGCACCAUCACUCUACCACUCCGCGCGUCGCCACUCUGCUCAACGCGCCUACAUCAUCCGGCCGCCUCAUGCGUCAUCACUCGGCUGAGCGCACCUACAUCAUCUCGACUGCCCCACGCGCCGUCAAUCUACUAAACGCUCCAUCGACACUCGGCCGUCCCGCGUGCCAUCACUCUGCCGGACGCGUCUUUAUCAUUCAGCAACUCUGCGCAUCGCCACUCCAUCGUCACUCGGCCGCCCCGCGCGCCGCCAUUCCGACGGAUGCAUCUACUUCACUCAACCGCCCCGCGCGUCAUUACACAGCUAAGACAUUCUUCACACACUGCAUUCAGUUAAAUAAUUAUUUAUGCAUUACCGAGUGUCAAGUAAGUUGCAUAUGACGUUCACUCAGAGGCCACGCCACCGAAUGUACUUCUGCGCUCGGUUCUUUAUCUUCAUGUCGGAUCCUUCACUUUCACAAGUUCAGUCGGAUCCUUCACCCUUUAGACUCUUGCUGGUUUUGAUCAGCAAGCACCUGGCACACCCAGCGGGUGUCUAUGGGUGCAAUUUAGACGAAUCAUUUCAACAAACAUUAAAUUAGUUCGAGAAUUUUUUAUGUUAGCUUGUGUUAUAUCUCAUACACAGGCUACCUCGACGCCUCUGUCUGUCAUUCUCGACGACAUGCUAGACUCGAUCGCUCCGCGCGCCGUCACUUGGUCGGGCGCCUCCACGACAACAUUCUCGACUCGGCUGCCCCGCGCGCCUUUACUUGACCGCUCCGCUCACCAUCACUCGGCGAGACGCUCCUUCGUCGCUCGGCUGCUCCGCACGCCGUUACUCGGCGACACGCUCCUUCGUCGCUCGGCCGCUCCGCGCGUCGUCACUCAACUGGACGCUCCUUCAUCACUCGGCAGCUCCGCGCAUCGCCACUCGACUGGACGCUCCUUCGUCACUCGGUCGCUCCGUGCACCGCCACUCGACCGGACGCUCCUUCGUCACUCGAUCGCCCCGCGCAUCACCACUCGACGAGACACGUCGUCGUCAUUCGGCAGCCCCGCGCAUCGCCACUCGACUGGAUGCUCCUUCGACACUCGGUCGCCCCGCGCGCCGUCACUCGACCGGACGCUCCGCGCACCAUCACUCAACUGAACGCUCCUUCGUCACUCGGCAGGUCCACGCAUCGCCACUCGACUGGACGCUCCUUCACUCGACUAGAUGCUCCUUCGUCACUCGAUCGCCCCGCGCAUCACCACUCGACGAGACACGUCGUCAUUCGGCAGCUCCACGCAUCGCCACUCGACUGGAUGCUCCUUCGACACUCGGUCGCCCCGCGCGCCGUCACUCGGCCGCUCCGUGCACCGUUACUCAGUGGGACGCUCCUUCAUCACUCGGCCACUCCUGCGCCAUCAGACAGCUAAGUCAUUCUUCAUACGCUACAUUCAAUUAAAUGAUUGUUUCCGCAUCACCGAGUGUCGAGGAAGUAGCACACGACGUUCACUCGGAGGCCACGCCUCCGAGCGUACCUCUGCGCUUGGUUGUUUAUUUUUAUGUGGGAACACUUCACUUCCGCUUCGUUUGGGUCCAGUACUCAAACGAGUUCAGUCGGAUCCCUCAGUUGCAUAAGUACAGUCGGAUCAUGCACAAGUACAAGCACCUGGCACACCCACUGGGUGUCUAUGGGUGUUAUUUACACAAACUAUUUCAGAAAAGAUCAAAUUACUUUCAUAAAUGUUUAUGCUGGCUUGUGCUAUUUUUCAUACACAGGUUACACGAUCACUCGACGCAUCUGUGCGCCAUCUUCGUCGUUACUCAGGCUCAGUCGCCGCAAUGAUCAUUCGUGCGUUUUCACGUGUUCGGAAGCCCCUUCGAUGACAUAGUGGACACGGCCGCCCCGCGUGCCGUCAGUGGGUCGGACGCCUCCUCGACAUACAUCAUUUGGUCGCCCCGCGCGUUGCUACUCAGCCGGACUCAUCUACCUCACUCGGAUGCCCCGCGCAUCGCCACUCCGUGUGGCACGUCUUCAUCACUCGGCCACCCUGCGCGCCAUCGCUCGGCUUAGCUGCGAUUCCGUAUCGCCUAAGUUAAAACUACUUCGAGUACGGACACGCUCCACACUCGGGGCUUAGCUGCGACUUCGUAUCGCCUAAAUUAAAAACAACUCUGAGUGCCGACACGCUCCACACUCGGGGGCUUAGCUGCGACUCCGUAUCGCCUAAGUUAAAAACUACUCCGAGUACAGACACGCUCCACACUCGAGAACUUAGCCGCGACCCCGUAUCGCCUAAGUUAAAAAAUACACUCGGAGACUUGACUUUGAUCCAGAAAUCACAUAAUGCAGAUUCAACAAACAUUCAACAUGCGAGCACUGGAAGACUUAAGCCCUCUGCCGGACUCAUCUAGUCCGACAGAGGCUCGGGGACUACACCCAGUGGGUGCACUGAGCGUGCCCCCACUGGAAGAGAAAUACAAAAAAGAAACAUUCUGCUUGGUCAGGUCCACCAACAACAUUCAAGUUCAACAGAUUCAACAGACUCCAACCAACUACUAGCAAUCAGUCAGAGUCUCAAGAUCAUGUUGGUCACUCGGAUCUACUUCAAUUCUCAAGUUCACUCAGACGUACUACUCAACGGAAUCAAUCAGGGCGAAUGAUGAAGACUUCAAUCGACGCACAAUUCUGCAAGGCCCUGAAGCACGUUCAAGUUCGGUCUGCUGCUACAAGAUUUACAUCGACACCUUCACCACUUGGACCCUAAUCCAUUCGGGGGCUAAUGACGGGGAUAUUGCCCUAGGGUAGGGUCAUAGGCCUGACCUAUACGUCCUACCCAAGGGCACCUCAUUAUUAGUUUAAGGACUACAAGGGAAAUUCCGACUGGAUCGCGACAACAUCUAAUCCUCUCGGUACGGAUCCACUCGGACAAGUACAUCCAUCCACUCGGAUGACAAUCAACCACUCGUCCGUAUGACUCACUCGGGUAUGCAAAUACCAACAGUAGGCAAGGCAGUCGAAGCAUAUNAAUGCAAAGCAUAUGCAAUAGCAUUGCAUUUGAAGAAGUGUAAUACUAAAAAAAAUAGAUAAUCCAAAUCCGUGUCUUGAGAGUGUCAUCGUAGCAUGAAGAGUCUUCAAAACUUGUCGAGUCGCCGAAGGAGAUAACGAAGAGAUGGCACAUCAGAGGUAGACACCGCAGUACUUGAAGAUACAAGUUAAGUAUCAAGAGAAGAUGGGUUAUCAAAAGAAGAUGGCACAUCAAGAGGAAGACACCGAAGAGAUGGCACAUCAGAGAAAGACACCGCAUCACUUGAAGAUACAACAUAAGUAUCAAGAGAAGAUGGGUUGUCAAAAGAAGAUGACACAUCAAGAGAAUAAAGCAUUGCACGGAAAAUCAUAGUCCACGACAACCGUCGGCGAAAGAAGCUCGGCAGAUAAUGCACAAUGGACGUAGAUCGACAAUGCAAAAGAAGUCCAGAAAAUCCUACAGAAAACAACAAGGGCAAAUAGACCACAAAAGUUGUAUAAAAAAAGGAUCAGGACCGGAGAAAGCCUGACAGACUAAGGUAUGGUGGACUCGCAUGACGUGAGAAAACACAAAAUAUCAACGGAUUUGGUGGACGCAGCGGAAAACAAGGAAGCUAAAAGCUAGGAAGCAUACACGACACAAAGAUGCAAAAUCCAUCAUGUAUGCAGAAGACAUUGUACUUUUUUUUAUAUUGUUGUUGAAAUCAAAAUAGGAACGGAGCAGAAGCUAGCACGCCGCCAGCCACGUACGUAGCCACGUACGUGACGGAAAGGCAGCAGCUAGCAUGCAUGAGCGAACGCAGCACUACGCAGCAAGAGGAACCAGGUAGCAGCAGGUACACCGGACGAAGAUGGCGAACGCAACACCACACAGCAAGAGGAACCAGGUAGCAACAGGUACACCGGACGAAGAUCAUCAAGCUGCAUGCACAUUGACUGCUCCUCGCGAGAUCCAUCAAGCUGCGUGGCCGCGACCUGGAGCCGCUCCAGCGGUAGGAGAUGGGGAGUCCAGGAGCAGGGCCAUCGUCCGGCGGCGCGACCUGGAGCGGCGAGAGAUGAGGCGGCGCAACCUGGAGCGGCGGGAGAUGGGGCGGCGCGACCUGGAGUGGAGGCGGCGCGACCUGGAGCGGCUGGAUCCAGGUGAGAGCGGGCCUGCGGCGGCGUCGAGAGAUCCGGCAGGGGCCGGUGGGAUCCGGCCUGAUCUGCAGCAGCCGGGGACAAAGACCCGCGGGGGCCGGCGGGAUCCAGUGCGUCGUGCCGAGCCAUGGGUCUUUGUCCCGCAUUCCAGCCGCCGUCGUGGCCUCCCUCUUCCCCAUCAUCCCUUCCCCAUAUGCCGUUGCCCUGCCCCCCUGCUUCCUCGCCUCGAUCUCGACCGGGUUUGGACGAACCGGACGACGACGAGGUGGUUCCCAGGCUUCGAUCCAGCAGGACGAAAGGAGAUUGAGCGGGGAGGCCCGCGGGGAUCGAUCGGGAGGGCGAGUUGCGGUGCCCGAAAAAAUAACCUAAGCUCUAAUACCAUGUUAGGAAAGCAACUUAUAUGUAUUGAAGGCCCAAGGGGCAUAUAUAUAUAUUACACAUGACUUGAGGUGCAAGGAAAGUAAACUAUAGACUAAUAAGGACUCCUAGACUAAUACUAAUACUUCCUAACAGCAUAGAGGAGGUUCUGUAGUGGACUGACAUUAUGGCAUCAAUGCCCCAUCUUGUAACAUAAGAGGUGAGGGGGUGGCGCACUCUAUAUAAGCCACCCUCCACCACAUAGCUCAAGGACCAGCUUCUUCUCCCCCUGCGGGCUCAUUCUUUCCAUGGAGCUCUGCCUCUCUCUAUACCAUGUAACUCAUGUCCAUGACAGAUAAAACAAAGCCUCUCCGGAGCACGAGACGUAGGGUUGUUAUCUCCAUUAUGAGAGGCCCAAACUCGCUAAAACCACCGUGUCACCCAUGUGCAUCUCGAUAGAUCGUGCUCCAUUAUCCUACCCCUUUCUAUUGUCGGAAUCGUUACCACGACAGACGGCGCUC
RNAcentral lists this long non-coding RNA (7737 nucleotides) under Hordeum vulgare. RNAcentral describes it as "long non-coding RNA (HVUL_LNC006811)". The stretch from base 1665 to 1788 matches the Rfam family "MIR1120/MIR1122 microRNA precursor family". Lineage: Eukaryota; Viridiplantae; Streptophyta; Magnoliopsida; Poales; Poaceae. The record is from RNAcentral.